GACGAACGCUGGCGGCGUGCUUAACACGUGCAAGUCGAACGGGGUCCAUGCUGUAGCAAUACAGCGGAAGACUUAGUGGCGAACGGGUGAGUAACACGUGAGAAACCAACCCCGGUCUUUGGGAUAACAGGUGGAAACACCUGCUAAUACCGAAUGCCGUCGUUUCCUCGCAUGGGGAGAUGACGAAAGGGCUACCGGAUCGGGACGGUCUCGCGGCCUAUCAGCUUGUUGGGGAGGUAACGGCUCACCAAGGCAUCGACGGGUAGCUGGUCUGAGAGGAUGAUCAGCCACACUGGGACUGAGACACGGCCCAGACUCCUACGGGAGGCAGCAGUGGGGAAUCUUGCGCAAUGGGCGAAAGCCUGACGCAGCAACGCCGCGUGCGGGAUGAAGGCCUUCGGGUUGUAAACCGCUUUUACCAGGAAGGAAACUGACAGUACCUGGAGAAUAAGGUGCGGCCAACUACGUG
RNAcentral lists this ribosomal RNA (469 nucleotides) under uncultured bacterium. RNAcentral's name for it is "bacterial SSU rRNA". It matches the Rfam family "Bacterial small subunit ribosomal RNA", at positions 28 to 507 of the family's 1533-position model. The record is from RNAcentral.